AGAGGAGAAAAGUUCUCAAAAGAAUCAAUAAAAGGGUGGUGGAGGAGGAGAUGCAUACGAGACUCCGAUGACGGGUGGCAAAGGCCCUUCAUAUACAGGUGCAGGUGGUGGAGAUGACGGUGGUGGCGGUGAAUUGUAAUGAUAAACAGGUGUUGGAGGUGGCGGUGAUGGUGGUGGUGGUGAAUUAUAUUGAAUUGGGGGAGGUGGUGGUGAUGGUGAUGGUGGCGGAUGGUAAGGUGCAGAGUGUGGUGAUGGUGGUGGUGGUGAAUGCUCUUCACAAGGUGGUGGAGGUGGUGGCGGAGGAGGUGACUCUAUACAAGGUGGUGGAGAUGGGGGUGGCGGUGGUGGUGAAUAAACUGGUGGGGGAGGAGAGUGAACUGGAGGAGGUGGUGGCGGUGAUAAAUAGGGAUAAACUGGUGGUGGUGGUGGUGGUGAAUGUGGUGGUGGCGGUGGCGAAUGAGGUGGAGGUGGCGGUGGAGAGGCGGCGAAUACACUGGUGGUGGAGGUGGUGGCGAAUACACCGGCGGUGGGGGUGGUGGAGGGGAAUGAGGAAUGUAAACAGGCGACGGCGGAGGCGGCGAUGGCAAUGGUGGUGAGGGAGGAGGAGGAGGAGGCAAUGAAGGCACAAAAGGCUUACACCUAAACGAAUUACAAUCGACAGGGUGCGACAAAAACGACUUACAUUGCCCAGCGGAGCGCUGGGCAGGCCUGGCCGGAAGGCAGUUGCGGCGGUCAUCAAACGCCGGCAAAGCGAGACAUCUUGGCGGCUCGCCAGUGAAGAAGUUAUAAGAGUAAGUAAAGUUCUGCAGAUUCGGAAGCUUACAAAUGCUCUCUGGAAUCUUCCCCGAAAGUAAGUUAUGCGCCACAUUCAACUGCUCCAAACUCACCGCACCACCAAUAGCAUCAGGCAAAGGCCCCAGCAACUGGUUGAAGCUCACAUCGAACACCGUCAAGUUCUGCAGCA
This 964-nucleotide long non-coding RNA is filed under the name Glycine max (soybean). RNAcentral's name for it is "long non-coding RNA (GMAX_LNC002052)". The record is from RNAcentral. Lineage: Eukaryota; Viridiplantae; Streptophyta; Magnoliopsida; Fabales; Fabaceae.